Medicago truncatula (barrel medic) is the source of this 437-nucleotide long non-coding RNA. RefSeq lists it as uncharacterized. NCBI's taxonomy places the organism in Eukaryota, Viridiplantae, Streptophyta, Magnoliopsida, Fabales, Fabaceae. The transcript has 2 exons. The record is from RefSeq and is a predicted model, not a curated record.
UUUUCUACUAUAUAAGAUAAGAUAAGAUAGCUUUUUGUGUUAUUCUCUCAUAGCUCUUGACAAUGCUGCAAACAGCCAAUUAUAAAUCUUCCACUAAAGAAUCUAUGACUAUUAUCAUAACUUGUCGUGACAAUGGAUUUAAACCAAAAUCACCAAAAAGUACCGGAAGUGGAGGAGGGGGAAGUGAUCCAAAAACAAAUAGUAUACUUCAAAGCACAGCAAGAAGUCUUCAACUUGAUAGCCUUAUUAAUUAUGUCACCAACAACUUGAGUGUCAUUGAUCAUGAUGAUGAAAAUAGAAGUCCUAAAAGGAUUGGCAUGCAACAAAUACUUCAUGCUGAAAAUUAUAUUUUUCCAAAAAGAAACAUGAAUUCACCAUGAUCUCAAUAGUUGUAAUUAUGUAACUAGAGGCUCCGAAUACUGAAUAAUUUAUGAUAA